This 402-nucleotide ribosomal RNA is filed under the name uncultured bacterium. RNAcentral describes it as "bacterial SSU rRNA". It matches the Rfam family "Bacterial small subunit ribosomal RNA", at positions 976 to 1380 of the family's 1533-position model. The record is from RNAcentral.
CGGGCUUAAAUUGCAGAUGAAUUACGGUGAAAGCCGUAAGCCGCAAGGCAUCUGUGAAGGUGCUGCAUGGUUGUCGUCAGCUCGUGCCGUGAGGUGUCGGCUUAAGUGCCAUAACGAGCGCAACCCUUGUUGUCAGUUACUAACAGGUUCCGCUGAGGACUCUGACAAGACUGCCAUCGUAAGAUGUGAGGAAGGUGGGGAUGACGUCAAAUCAGCACGGCCCUUACGUCCGGGGCUACACACGUGUUACAAUGGGGGGUACAGAGGGCCGCUACCACGCGAGUGGAUGCCAAUCCCCAAAACCUCUCUCAGUUCGGACUGGAGUCUGCAACCCGACUCCACGAAGCUGGAUUCGCUAGUAAUCGCGCAUCAGCCACGGCGCGGUGAAUACGUUCCCGGGCC